UUUCCGGUUGAUCCUGCCGGAGGCCACUGCUAUCGGAGUCCGACUAAGCCAUGCGAGUCUUGGUAGGCUUUGCCUACCGGCGGACGGCUCAGUAACACGUGGACAACCUGCCCUCGGGAGGGGGAUAACCCCGGGAAACUGGGAAUAAACCCCCAUAGGUCACGGAUGCUGGAAGGCGCCGUGACCGAAAUUCCGAAAGGAGCCCGAGGAUGGGUCUGCGGCCUAUCAGGUUGUAGUGGGGGUAACGGCCCCACUAGCCUACGACGGGUACGGGCCCUGAGAGGGGGAGCCCGGAGAUGGACACUGAGACACGGGUCCAGGCCCUACGGGGCGCAGCAGGCGCGAAACCUCCGCAAUGCGGGCAACCGCGACGGGGGGACCCCCAGUGCCGUGGCAACGCCACGGCUUUUCCGGAGUGUAAAAAGCUCCGGGAAUAAGGGCUGGGCAAGGCCGGUGGCAGCCGCCGCGGUAAUACCGGCGGCCCGAGUGGUGGCCGCUAUUAUUGGGCCUAAAGCGUCCGUAGCCGGGCCUGUAAGUCCCUGGCGAAAUCCCACGGCUCAACCGUGGGGCUUGCUGGGGAUACUGCAGGCCUUGGGACCGGGAGAGGCCGGGGGUACUCCUGGGGUAGGGGUGAAAUCCUAUAAUCCCAGGAGGACCGCCAGUGGCGAAGGCGCCCGGCUGGAACGGGUCCGACGGUGAGGGACGAAGGCCAGGGGAGCGAACCGGAUUAGAUACCCGGGUAGUCCUGGCUGUAAAGGAUGCGGGCUAGGUGUCGGGCGAGCUCCGAGCUCGCCCGGUGCCGCAGGGAAGCCGUUAAGCCCGCCGCCUGGGGAGUACGGCCGCAAGGCUGAAACUUAAAGGAAUUGGCGGGGGAGCACUACAAGGGGUGGAGCGUGCGGUUUAAUUGGAUUCAACGCCGGGA
RNAcentral lists this ribosomal RNA (922 nucleotides) under uncultured archaeon. RNAcentral's name for it is "bacterial SSU rRNA". It matches the Rfam family "Archaeal small subunit ribosomal RNA", at positions 1 to 923 of the family's 1478-position model. The record is from RNAcentral.